UACAGAGGUCUCAAGCGUUGUUCGGAUUCAUUGGGCGUAAAGAGCGUGUAGGCGGCCAGGUAGGUCUGGUGUGAAAACUCGAGGCUUAACCUCGAGAUGUCAUCGGAAACCAUCUGGCUAGAGUCCGGAAGAGGAGAGUGGAAUUCCUGGUGUAGCGGUGAAAUGCGCAGAUAUCAGGAGGAACACCGGUGGCGAAGGCGGGUCUCUGGACAGUUCCUGACGCUGAGGCACGAAGGCCAGGGGAGCAAACGGG
Molecule: ribosomal RNA, 253 nt
Filed under: uncultured bacterium
Lineage: Bacteria
Description: partial 16S ribosomal RNA
Rfam family: Bacterial small subunit ribosomal RNA
Source: RNAcentral